This 3896-nucleotide long non-coding RNA is filed under the name Sus scrofa (pig). RNAcentral describes it as "lncRNA (ENSSSCG00035003562.1)". Lineage: Eukaryota; Metazoa; Chordata; Mammalia; Artiodactyla; Suidae. The record is from RNAcentral.
AAUAUCAAGAUUUAAAUUAAAUAAGGGCAGACCAAAUGUGAUGGAUGCUCAUGGCAUAUGAGUCAGGAGGCACUUCAGAGAGCAUCUUAACAGGAUUUGAAUGUUGAAGCGGAAGGAAGGAUCUUGGCAAUUUUAAAUGACGAUAUAGAAAACAGAAACUCCGGGAUGAAUGAAGCCAAAGCAUGUGAGCAGAGAUGGACAGAGUGCCUGUGAAGAACCACUAGCUGGUGGUGAGGUAACUUUUGUAUACGAAGCGGAGGUCUGUCAAGGAAUCAUACCUCACAUCCAGUCAGUAGUUUGUCGGAAUAAAAUAUCGUGAAAUAGUUAAAAUAUAAUUUUAUUUGUGUGAAUUUUUUGUUUUGUUACUUUGUUUUUUUUAUAGUGUUUAUGUUACAUCAGGAAAAGAGAUUUGUGUGUUUCACUGCAGGAAGAUUUCACACCUGGAUCUGUCACAUACACUGAUGUCUUUAACGAAAAUAAAAAUAGAUCCUAUUUAUUGAAUUAUUGAGGUACAUAUUAUGUUGUCCACUUUCCAUGCCAUGCCUUAUAAUUCCCUUAUACUCUGAAGGUGAAUGAACUGUUUUAUACAUUUUAUGUAGAACAAUGGAAUUCCCUUGUACUUCAUCUGGUUAAGGGUCCGACAUUGUCACUUCUGUGGGGCAGGUUCAGUCCCUGGCCCAAGAACUUCUGCAUACUGACAAAAAAGAACAAUUAAAAAAAAGAAUAAUAAAAAAAUAAAAAUGGCUAGAACAGUUUUCAACUCUCUAGGAGAUACUUGAUAACACAUCUCAGGUUCCCAUUGUGAGAGAGUUGUUACCAUUUUUUUUGUCACUUAUUGUUGUUCUAAAUUUACCACCAGCAAAUCACCAGCCAAAUUAAAGUUGAGGAAAUAGAGAAUUAUAAUUUUCUGUUAAAAAUGGUGUCUGUGAAAACAAAAUUACACACAGAUUAUCUACAAAAAUAAUAGCGACUAAGACAAAACCCAGCCACUUUUACAUAAGAGACAUGGCCUAAGUGUACAAAAUUCUUAAACACUCAAAUGAAAAAUAAAAAGCAGUAAGUUUUCCAAUAAUGACAUGAAACUCCAAACAUGACAUCUUCAGUAAAAAUCAUAAGAACGAGGAAUAAUUUUCCAGUUGUAACACAAACAAAUAAAAACCUGCAGAGGGAUUCACUGUAUCUGUGAAUGUCAGUCGAAUAGUGUGAAUUGGGGAAAAAUUCUUCUCUGAGUAUAGGUGUUCACUUUAUUGAUGUUUUCUCUGACUCACUAAAGUGAAAAACAUUUUGGGAAAUGAAAUAUGUCUUAGAAUUUCAGAUUUUAUAAAUUUAAAGUCAUUGUUUUGAUCUUUAUUAUUGUGAAAUCCUCAUUGGGUGCAUAUUCUGGACUUGGCCCUGAGUAAAGAGGUAAAAAUUAGACAAAGGAUAUUGUGUUUAAGGGACCUCAAAUCUAACAAAAAAGCAAGUUUGUAGUGGAAGAUGGUUGGAUAUACAUGAUACAUAUGAAAUGUUAUUCAUUAUGGGAGAAGGUCAAUGUUUACCUUCUAUACUGUGCCAGGGUAUUAAAAUUUUCCUAAGUUUAGCCUUUAAGAAAUGUUCUUUGAAUCUGUUUCUAUAAAUGGGAUUACAAAUAAGAUAUUUAAUACAAUUAAAAUUUAAGGUAAUUCUGUCACUUUUUUACAUAGAAUGUAUUCCUCAAGAGACUGACGACUAGAUGCAGGAAGAGGAAACUAUAAAAUAAGAACCAGAACCCACCUAGCCCUUAACAUUGAGAGAGAGAUUAGAUCGGUAUCUGUCCUGUUUAAGCAUUUAGUCAACCUCUAUUUAAAGAGGAGAAUUUGCAGAAGGAGGGUUGUGGUAGCAUUAAUCCGUGUGUCCCUAGUUCAAAGACCUUUUGCGCUUAAACAGGCUCCUCUUGGGCUAUCCCACCUCUCCUUCAGGGGUCUGAGUACUUCUCUCUUUCAGAGCAGUUCCAGCUAGUGUGAGGUUUCCAGGGCUGACUCACUGCCCUAGCCUCUUCUCCCUGCUUUCAUCUUGGCUCCCCAGGGAGCCACCCGCUGGACUAUCCCUGCAUCCAACCCUGUUCUAGAAAAGAAUUCCAUAUUUUUGAGCAGCGUUUUCUGGGAUGUAGUCUUUGAAACUCUGGUUUUACAGAAUCUCUAUAUAGUCUCCCUUUCUGACACUAAGCCGGAUGUUUUGAAGAGCGUGUUCUCUUCUCUUUGAAGGUCAUGGUAUAUGAAUGCGCUCAGGAGCCCGAGAACUCCUUCAGUAGUGGCCUACUGCUUACCGUUAUUUGUUCCGGCUUUUAUACAGUUAAGGGUCCAUGAACUAAUUUUGCAAGGCAUACCCUUAGCACGAGCUCUGUAGGUUACAGUGUGGAAAUGCUGAAUUAGACUACUGUGACCUUAAUAUCCUUCACAGUCCUCGUGAGAAAUAGGCAGAAGUUCUAAAGACUGGGGAAGCCAUAUUUAGAAUUACAGCAGUUCGGUGAUAUCAGAAAAGUAGUGAGAUAUGAAAUACUCAGAUUCCUUUCGUCAUUGUACCCCCUUCCCCUCUGGGAAUCUGUUUGGAUAGUGUGAACAACCAGCACAAUAUAAUUAGAGGUUGUGUUUGUGUGAAUUCGAGUAAUGUGGAGGUCUGAUCAGGUACUUAAGCUGUGGGGAGGUUUCAAAUGGAAACAGUGGAGAACCGAAACAGGAUGAGAAGAAAAGGCCAUGAGGAGAACGUUAAUGGCACCUUUAAUCCGUGGAGCCACAGGGAAGGUGGCUUUUCCUGUGGCAUAAGGGACACUAGAUGACCUCUGUGGGUCUUUGCACACCGGGGUCUCUGAUCCGCCAGACCAGGUGAAGACUUUUUCAGUCCUACUUCGUGUAGUGUGGGUGCUUGUGGGGUUUCUUUGGGUGAAUCUCUUUGGGAAGAUGAUGAAAAUCCAAGCAACUUCAGGUAGGAGGGGAGAGUAGUGUUUCUCAUAGAGCUUACUGAAGUACCACCAGUGGAGUUAAGUGUCAGGAGUUGCCUCAUGGGACAGUGACUAAUCACUGUGUGUCACCAGGGAGUAAAAUACAGUUUUUUCUACCUCGUGGUCAUAUUCGCUUUUGGAAGGCAGCUGCGCUUAUCACCAUACCACCAAUGCUGUUAUUUGCUUUGGAAUGAGAGACUCUGCCAGGAGGUUUCUGCCUGGAACUUGGAGGACAGUGGAAAGAACCCAUUAGCUCUGAGAUCACGGAAACUGCAUCCUAUCAUUCACUUCCAAGUACUGCCCAGAAAUCAUAUAUUUAUCCUGUAAAAUAGCUCUUCCAAUGAAAGUUGUAUGUCUCUUCCUUUCCAAAGUUCUUCAAGGCUUGCUCACAUAGCCGAUUUACUGAGCACUUCAUACAGGCCUGUUCAGUGCAGUUUCUUCUUUCCUGCUCAUAGCAAAGCCUCUGAGGGGGACGUUACUAUUAUCAGCAUCACUCUCUUACAGGUCACAUAGCUUCUCGUGGCUGAGGCCAGCGCCGUCUCCGGGACAAGAAUUUUUCACAGCUGCUCUGUGUGACUGUUUUCCCAUCUUGUAAAGAGGAUCCUAAAGAAAGAAAUACAUCAUUCUCUAGACCCUGAUGUGUUCUGACCACUCGCCUGUGUUUUGCACAAAGCAUCUCCCCAAACAAAUCCCAGAUUAUUAAUGGUGAACUUUAGCCAGUGGCUAAUCUGUUUAAUGAUUAUGUCUACAUCUGUUAAGAAAACACAUAAAUCAUUUGGAAAACCAUUCAUAAUAAAAAAGAAAAAAGACCGCAUGUAGCUGUGUUUCAUCACGGCCAGCUUGAGACAGCUUGUUUUUUUUGACCAUCUCCAUUAUAAUUGGGGUUGUUAAAGAGAUUACUGAAGUAUUAAAUAGGCCAGUUUAUGACAAAGCAACAAAU